RNAcentral lists this long non-coding RNA (8294 nucleotides) under Oryza brachyantha (malo sina). RNAcentral's name for it is "long non-coding RNA (OBRA_LNC000711)". The record is from RNAcentral. Lineage: Eukaryota; Viridiplantae; Streptophyta; Magnoliopsida; Poales; Poaceae.
UAAAAUGAUGAGAACUGUACUGUGUGAGUAAAGAAAAUAAGAUCAACUAUGUUUGCUGGUUUCUUCUUGAAAUUAAUUUAACAUAAAAGCUUGAUGUUUGCGGAUAGUAGUUGUACAAUUUUCUGAUCAAGGGAAAAUUGUAUGAUCCUGCCAAAUAUUCGAAGCUGGAUGAAUGUGUACACUUGUACUCCUUGGUCUAAAACUGUUACAAAAAAUAAUGACACAGAAUAAACUUUGAAUGAAAAAAAAACUGCCGAUACCAUUUUUCAUGUGAAAAUAAAUUAAAUAUAUUUAUACAUUGUAAUACAUGGACUAGCAAAAUUUUAGUGUGACAAAUACAGAAUAACAGAGGGAGUGAUGUACCAAAUAAUCAGUUAAAAUCAUUUUACAUUCACUGCACUAACAACUACCUGCGCACAUUUGAUUUAUUAAUGUCAUUUCCAUCUCUUUCUCUGGUUUAGGUAACAGUACAUUUUUUAACCACAGCUGAGCUGAGAAACUGCAUGCACCUUUGCACAUCUUGCUAGCUGCCUGUACCCAUCUCUCCUAAUCCUCCGUUAUGACUCACUGUCAUCAUGCUAACUAUAGUAUUUUUCGCUAACUAGUCCUUCUCAGAACGACGCUGUGUCCUCGCCUUUCUUCUCUUAUAUAUAAUCGCAUUGUUGCUUGACAUCUAACCUUCCUAACGCUUUACUUGAGGUUUUAAUUCGUUUUGCGUCCUGUCAGGUUCAGGAGGCACCACUACAGACAGGUCCUAGUAAAACAUGCCAAUUAGGAGAGAUGCCUCUUCAUCAAGUGACAGUAAUUCAAGCCCUAAAACAGCCCCCCUACUAGUUUAUUCAAAAAGGAUAUUUCCGCUGGACUUAAUACUCAAAAUUUAAGGAAGUGCUCGAGAAAAUAUUCGCCAGAAUAAUAUUGUUUCUAUUUAUACUAGUGAAUGAAAAUUUUGUCGUUCCAAAUAGUACCCAGCGAUUCUACGAUAAAAUUCAAUGAUUUGACAAUCUCGACACUCGUAAAGUAUGACAUAUGAGACAUGGCUACCUGAGUCAGUGAUAAUAAGACGAUAUGUCAAAUAAUAGAACCCUAAUUUAUAAAGUGUCAAAAGAAGAGAAAAUCAAAUAUCUGGAUUCUGAGUAUGUGCAGAUGUUUUCUGAAGGAACAGAUGUCUAUAACCGUCGAUUGUUUAAUCAGUUUUAUCCAGUAUAUUAUUGCAUCAAUGUGGGCACACUAGUUCUGACAGAUGGUAUUCAAAGGUUCAGAGCGGAGCACAAGCAAGCACACUCGUUGAUCAUUUUUGGGAACCACAAAACUUUGCAAGCCGUCUCGUUAUAAACGAAAACAAUCUGCAAUGGCUUCCUAAGUGCCAAUCACAUGUCAAUUUUCUCUGCAAAACUAUGAGUCCAUAUGAUCUUGAAAUUGGUCGCCCCCAUAAUAUAUUGGAGCACAUCACAUGGCCACUAGACAAGCUUGAGACGAUCAUUAAUUAAUUAUGGAUUUUUUUAAGGUGCACCAAGUUAAUACGAGUCAUCCAUUGUUCAUAGAUCUAAGGGUUGAUAAUACUCUUACCUCAGGUGUGGUAAGAGUCAUUUAUUGCCAUUCAAAUUUAAAUAUGAUCAUAAAUUGCACUGUAAUAAGGAAAGAAAGAGAUAAUAUUUCCUUACUUAAAUACAACAAUUAUACUAGUAAAAUUAAAAAUAUGAAAUACUCUCAAUAUCUUUAUACUUUCAAUUUAUAAACUAAGUUCAAAAUAAUUAUGAUGCAUAUAUGAAAAAAUAAUUUUCACUUUUGUAAUUUUUUUUUUAACAGAACCUAGUAUCCAAAUUCAGUCAUAUCUAUUUGGCUUCAAAUAAGAAAAGUAUUUGUAAUAAAUUUCAUGUUAAAUUUGAAUCCUUUGGGGAAUCAAUUGGAGUUUGCACGAUUUUUAGCAAUAUGUAUAAACUAAAAUUUUAGUUUGACUGGCACGUUGGUCUACCAAAAUUUUGCCUAAUAUUUUAGUAUGGAAUUAAUGUGCUUGGCGUUAUUGUUAUUUCCACCGUAAGCAUGCAUGCACGAUUAGCGUGAUUAUUAUAAUAGCACUUUACUUAUUUGAGCAUGCUAAAUGAAUGAGUUGUUGGAUCAUUUAUGUUGAUUAAAAUAAAAGGACAAAAUUCAAUGGCCAAGAUUAAUUGAGAGCUCUUACCUCACAAGAGGUAAGAUGAAGCCUGUAAAACUGCUCAUUAAUUAUUGUGUAACUUGUUAAGUGACACGAGCUAGUUAAUCGGCAAAAGAAAAACAAGUAGCUAAUUGGAUAUCAUCAUCAUCUGAACAGUGGCAACAGUACGUACACAUGCUGUGCAUCUCCAUGCAUGCCAUGGCCAAAAAAUGUGCCUAUAGUUAGCAGACACUAUAAAUACUUCACAUGUAGAAGCACCCAUGCUCCAUGUUAAUCAAAUGUGUAGUUAGACAAGUAUAGCUCACCAAACUUGACGAAUACCAUACAGAAAUGUACAUAUCGAUCGGUAGCUAAGCUGCUAACCAGCAGAGCUAUCGAUCUCAUCGGUCAUGUUCAGGCAACCGCCCCAACUAAAUGGUGCUAACACUAAUUAAACACCGUCCUUAAUAUCGACGUGUCGUACAAAUUUUUAUGUAUUCCCAUCUGUUUCGUUCAAAUUCAUAGAAAAACAUAGCAAUAUUUAUAACACCAAAUUAAUUUUAUUAAAUUCACUAUUAAAUAUAUGUUUUUAAUAUAUUUGUUUGGCGCUAAAAAUGCUGAAAAAUAUUAGGACAAAACCAGAACACGAGGGAUCAUUAUUCUUGAUGCAUCUAAAUAUAUUCGACGUGACGGUGUAACUGUACAAUCACCAGUUCUAUUGUAAUAGCAUUUGAUUAAGUUAACCCUCUUCCUUUCCUCAUUAAUCACGGUAGUUGUAUUAUAUGUUAAAAGUCAAUAUAUAGUCUAUAUAGACAAGAAGAAAGUGCUAGCAGUAUUUGACAGAUUGAAAACUGGCAGGUGAGUAUUUUUGCUUUUUACAUACUCCAGCUAAUGGUGACGAUAACAAUCUUUAGUUCGUGGUGUAUAUAAUAUGGGGUUGCUUGAACAACUAAAGUUGCGUAAGUUAAAUCAAUUAGUACUAAAAGUAUACUUCUGUACACUUGUACAGUUGCUAUAGUAUGUGUGAUCAGUGGUGCUGUGCAUUGUCAAGUCAUAAAUAAACCGUGGUCACCGGAAAGAAAGAUGAGCUAAAUGCGUAGCUACGCAAACCUAAUCGGUCCCUACUGCAUGCACCACCUACGCAUGAAGCGAUCGAUGUGUCACGUCGAUACAAAAAAAAAUGUGGUUGCACCGCUCAUGGCUAUCUGCUACGUCGCCUAAAUCAGCAAUUAAAUGGUGAUAGAUACGGAGAAUUACGUUUUGGGUACUCGUCAGAAUUAAUAAAUUGGUUGAAUAUUGAUCAAACCGGGUGAAUGGGCCAAACAACCUGAGAGGGAAGUUCAACUGGCCAUACAUGUAUGUGCCACCACCGGUCCAACUUUAAAAGGACCAAAACCUACUGACUACCGAGAAUUUCACACUAUGGUACCCACUCCAUUUCUCAAAAAAAAAGAAUUCAUUUUCUUUUUUAUAUUCCUUUUUUUUUCAAAAUGUCGUUUUUUCUUCAACAAUCUGCAUCACUUCACAUUUCGUCACAUCUUUCACCUUUUUGCCUACGAGGGUUUCCGUUCCAAAACUCUGUUUUGUUAAAACUCUCAAAGCUUGACUUGUAGCGCUGCAGUGCUGCCUGCUGCUAACCGCGAAACCCACAGGUAAGCUCCCGUGGGCGAGGCUGUAAAGCGCACCGGCCAACCAACCAACCAAAACCCCUCCUGCCCUCCACCACACCUCGCGUACGCACGUUGCACGGCGACCCGCUUGCGUUUUUGGAUGCGAAAUGGGCCGCUUCUCACCCCACCCCCACCCCCGGUCGCGAGGCCUCGUCUGCGCUGCACAGCACAACCCCAACACGCACACCUCUGGUCCCCGGCCGGUCGCUCGCUGGACAUAUAUAAUAAGAGCAAGAAAAUAAAGCUGGUUGCACUGGUGCUGCCUGUAAAGGGGUAAAGUUCGUGUAUAAUUUCCUUCGAGGCACACUGCCAGGAUGGAAACGGAUGGGUCGGUGUACGUAGUAUCCGAUCUAACCAUGGAUCGGACAACCAGCGACGCACUUCGGGCUAUGGAAUGGAUGCGACGGAAAUGGACACGACUGGCCCCAGCCAGUCACGGUAGCCAGUACUAGUAGCUACUAGCAUCAAGGCAUGGCAUGGAAAAUGGAGUAUAGGAGUACGUGUACAAGAGCUAGCACGACGGAACUGGAAGGGAAGGAUCACUUGGAUUGGAGCUAGUAGUAGUGAUACUUUGACAGGACAGAGGCAACAGAAACAGUGGCGUUUUCUGCGUUGCCUCCAGGGGACCAAACCAAACCAACCAACCAACCCGUUACGGAGCCCAUCUCGCCGGCCAUCGAGGCAGCGGGGGCUGCAUGCUCGGCGAAGCGAUCUAGAAACACGGGAGGUGCCGUGAUCCACGACGACCCUGGACCACCGCGCACCGGGCGGCCGGACUCCAUCCUGCACUCCACACCUCCCUAGCUUGACCGGAUAUGCCUGGCUGCCUCCUGCCCCCUUGCCGUUUCCUCCGGCUCUGUCGUAUCCGCCACCGUCGGUGCUGGUCCUUCCCUCUCGUCUGCUUGCUGUUUCCGUCUAUCGAUAUACUCUUUCCGUCUUCGAUGGUUGGUUUUUUAUACAUGUUUGACUGUUUAUCUUAUUUAAAAAUUUAUAUAAUUAUUUAUUAUUUUUAUAUCAUUUUAUUUAUUGUUAAAUAUACUUUUAUGUAUAUAUAUAGCUUUACAUAUUUAAAAAAAUUAAAUAAAACGAACGGUCAAAUAUAUCGAAAAGUCAACGACGUCAAACAUUUAGAGAUAGAAGGAGUAUUAUGUCUUCUACGCAGUUAGUCGUAGAUAUGUUGCACAACCUUAUUGAUCCAAACAGUGUGUGCGUUUCUUUUUCCUUCUUUUUACAAUUACGAUAUACUCCAUUCGUCGUCCUUUAAUAAAAGAGAUUCUAAGGUUUAAAUUUUGUUUUUAAAUAUAGAUAUUAUACAACAUUAUUUAUCACAUCAAACACCUCUCAUUCAAAUUUAUAUCUAUUUUAUCAUCAACUACUUUCUACUAUCUAGUCUAUAUAUUAACGAUGAGCACCACAGUCCUUUUAUUUUAUCCUUAAUUUGUCCAAAACAACUUAUAAUAUAGAAUAGUUAAGAACAGAGAUAUUAUUAGAAAGAAGUCGCAAAUGAGCACACACAUAUGGAAAUCUAUAAGCAUGUUUUAUCCUAGUAUAUAGUGUGCUCUUUAGAUAGAGACUAGUGAUAAACCUAUUAAAAAUGCAAACCACACCCAGGAAACCGUGACACUUCACCUAAGCGAAAGGUUGGAUUUUUUUUCCCCAAAAACUUGGUAUUGGUUCAUGUUUCAAAUAGAACUCCAAAAACCUUACAAAAUGUUUUUAUACCAAAAUCAAACAUUUCAGGGUUGGAUUUUAUCAGUUUCAAAUCAGAUACUUGAAAUAACAAGAGUCAAGCUAGGUUUUCUUACUGUUGUUGCACUUGCCACUUGCACAUUGAUUUCCGAUAUGUUGCACUUGCAUGGCCGAUUAAUUAGAAAUCAUCAACAACCAUAGUUAUGGUGGUGAUACUAAUUAAUGGAAGGAGGUGGUAUAUUUUUAUAAGAUAAAGUAUGUAACUAAAAAUUAAUUGCUAGGAUGUAUGGUGAGCUCUUACCUCUCUAUAUGUAAGAUAAGAUGGAGUAUAUAUAGUAAAAGAGCUCGAUGAUUUAUCAUCUAUGCUUCACUAAUCAUGGAUCCAUGUAAGCUGAACCUAGUUUCUGGCCAAGUACAGUGAACCAAUAGUCCACUGACAAACGGCGGAAUUAAGAAGCAAAAUAGUCCAAGAAAGAUUCCAUCUUCCCAUGGAGGCAUGGAGCCAUGCAUAGUACGGAGACAUACAAAAUUUACAUAUUCCCCCAUAUCUUGGACAAGAACGAAUUUACAAAUCCACCAAUCAUCAGCAUUGCUUGGUUUAUUUGAGUUCAAUUUGACUAGAGAUAAUGUGUAACGACAUUGCCAAUUAAGAGACACUAGAUCAGACAUGGGAAGCAUCAGCCGCCCAUGAUUGUGCUUGUACAUGUUGUGUCUGCCUACGGCUAAGGGUUCCAAUCCCAUCAUGCACAUGUGUAACAUGUGGAAUUGCGAAUUAUUUGCAAUGUACAUGUAGUGUAAGAUAGUGUAGCUAGUGUACAAAACAUUUUCUACAAUAAGUGUUGAUAAUAGUACUACAAAAUGGAUAAAUUUGUUUGUGCUCUGCAUGGAAGUUAUUGUCAAUAUUUAGAAACAAAUUCCAUGAUUUUUCACUCUUUAUAUUGUCAUCUACCACCCCAUGACAAUAAUGUGUAGGAUCCUCCGACUCAACAACACGUGGAUUAGAAUGACAAAUCGUCAAAUCCCGGAUCUAAAGAGUGACAAAUUAUUAAAUCCCCUAUUCUUAGAUAACGAAAACAAUUUAUUUCUCCGGCCACUCUAGGAAGACACACUAGGGGCUCAUGACAUGGUAACGUGAUGUACUUCUAGUGGUCAAUUCUUGAAUUAUAAAUUAAUUAGAUUUCAUUUCUAACCAUUUGAUUUGCUCUAUAAUCAUUAAAACGGUAAAAAUAAUAGGAAUUAGUGUAGAAAUAUUUAUAUUAUAGAUAUAAAAUUUAAGCAGUAGAAAUGAUUAUAUUUGGAGACGGUCGGCGGAGGGAGUAAGUUAGAGAUGACUGUCUCAGCAUUCAGCAGAAUUUCUGUUGAUCUGGCGGUGCAACUGCGACACAAAGGCUCCCAGAGAUCUUAAGCUUUUUCAGUAGUUGGAGAAGCUAUACCGGUUUCAGGAAAGAGAACAGAAGGUCUCUAUUCAGAUACCGACACGAACUACGUACAUACGCUCUCGGAGACAGGGACGUGGCAACGAUUGGGAGCGUCGCGUUUUCUUCUUUAGCCUCUUGUAAGUAGCCGUUUGUUUCUCGCUCGCCCGUAUUCUGAUUUGUGCAUGUGAGGCUGUGAAUUGAAUGACAUGACAUCACGGUGGUGCUGCUGCUGCUGACACGCGGAUCGACCUCGUUCUGAAAGAGCCGGAUUAGCAGCUGAGAGCCAUGCUAAUAAUAUAGCCAAGAAAGCUGGCUAUAAGUCUCUUUGCGGUCUUCUCUUAAUUCACUAUAUAGUAUUUAGUUCUUUAUCAUUAACGAAGGUUUCACAUGUCUCUCUCACAUAGUUUUUUUAUUCAUGUGACCAAGCUGGCUAUAAGAUUAUGGUACACUUCUCAUCUCUCUCUACUCCUCUCUUCUUCACAUAAGCAUUUAGUUAAUUCAUAGUCUACUAUUAUACUUGCUCUGAUAGGCGCAUGUAAGCGCCGGAUCACUACGCGUGGAUUUCGUAUUGGUAAGUGAGUGGUUGAGAGGGAAGCUAUUGUGGUGUUUUGCCUACCUAGGAUCUUUAUUGGAUAUUUCAUUUAGUUUUCUCCUGAGUGAACUUUGCUGUUGAUAACUGUUCUUUAUUAUUUUUGCCUGAAUUUUUGCCCUCUCUGUAUCCUGCAAUACGAAGGUGCACCUGGGCAUUCUUGAUAGUUGAUGCUAAUCAAAACCUCAGCUUAGAAGUCGUUUUAAAUUGGUGGGAAGAUUAAAGCAUCUGUUGGCUGUCUUAUUGGCUAAAUCGUCAUCAGGUUUAGCUGGAAUGCUAAAGCCUGAUGUAGUGAACAAAUUUAUCUCCUAGACAGGAUGCAGCUUAAAUGCAAUGCAUUAAAGAAGUAAGAGCAACAACAGGCAAUGCCAGGCACUGAAAAAGAAGAUCAGAGGGGGCACCUCAAGAUUCCAAAGAAAGAGAAUCAAAUACAAAAGCUGCCAUAGUAUUGUUGAAAGCAAAUCUGAACUUUGAAAGGCUGAGAAGGUUUCAGCAGUACCUGGGUUGGCAAUGCAAGGCUCCCGCAGAUGAUCAGGGGUGAGAAGCUUAGCAGGUGACUGAAACCCAGCCUCCUAAACCAGCUGCUCAAUUGAUCUCUUAAGAAAAGAGCCUCCAAAACCCAGCAAGAAGCAGCUUUAGUGCCCUUAAAAGCAGCUAUUAUUUGCAGAUUAAGCUAUGUGAGCCCCUCACACAGUUCCCUUCCCUCUCUACAUACCUUUCCCUGUCCUCUCCUCCUUUGCUUCUAAGGAGGUUCUACUCCCUUUUUGAUUCCCUUUUAUUCAAUCCUGGGGUCACAC